UGGGGAAUAUUGCACAAUGGGGGAAACCCUGAUGCAGCGACGCCGCGUGAGCGAAGAAGGCUUUCGUGUCGUAAAGCUCUGUCCUAUGAGAAGAUAAUGACGGUAUCAUAGGAGGAAGCCCUGGCUAAAUACGUGCCAGCAGCCGCGGUAAUACGUAUGGGGCGAGCGUUGUCCGGAAUUAUUGGGCGUAAAGGGUACGUAGGUGGUUUUUUAAGUCAGGUAUCAAAGCGUGGAGCUUAACUCCAUUAAGCACUUGAAACUGAAAGACUUGAGUGAAGGAGAUGAAAGUGGAAUUCCUAGUGUAGCGGUGAAAUGCGGAGAUAUUAGGAGGAAUACCGGUGGCGAAGGCGACUUUCUGGACUUUUACUGACGCUCAGGUACGAAAGCGUAGGGAGCAAACAGG
This 403-nucleotide ribosomal RNA is filed under the name Verrucomicrobiota bacterium. RNAcentral describes it as "Verrucomicrobia bacterium partial 16S ribosomal RNA". It matches the Rfam family "Bacterial small subunit ribosomal RNA", at positions 355 to 776 of the family's 1533-position model. The record is from RNAcentral. Lineage: Bacteria; Pseudomonadati; Verrucomicrobiota.